RNAcentral lists this ribosomal RNA (252 nucleotides) under uncultured bacterium. RNAcentral describes it as "partial 16S ribosomal RNA". It matches the Rfam family "Bacterial small subunit ribosomal RNA", at positions 524 to 776 of the family's 1533-position model. The record is from RNAcentral.
UACGAAGGGGGCUAGCGUUGCUCGGAAUCACUGGGCGUAAAGGGUGCGUAGGCGGGUUUUUAAGUCAGGGGUGAAAUCCUGGAGCUCCAACUCCAGAACUGCCUUUGAUACUGAAGAUCUUGAGUCCGGGAGAGGUGAGUGGAACUGCGAGUGUAGAGGUGAAAUUCGUAGAUAUUCGCAAGAACACCAGUGGCGAAGGCGGCUCACUGGCCCGUACUGACGCUGAGGCACGAAAGCGUGGGAGCAAACAGG